CACUCCAGGGAAAAAGUCAGGUCCACGAGCUGGUGUGGCAAAUGCAGAUCCAGAGACCUCAGUGCACUGGCAGGUGUAGGUCCGUUUCAGAAAACCUUGUGACCUCAGAAAAACGUGAGCUCAGAGACCUCUAAGACCAUUUUCAUGUUUUAGAGAUUUAUCUUUAAGACUGUAGAUUUUCACCUUAUAACCAGUUCUCUGGCAUUUACUAUGUCAUCUCAGACAAGUCACUAAAUCUUGUUAAGUCCCAAACCUCAGUCCCCUCAUCAGUUUUGAGGGGAUAAUUCUAUACUCAUAACACUGGAUGAAGUUUAAAUGAGUUAACCUGUAGGAUGCUUAGAAUGGUACCUGGCACUCAGUGUGGACUCAGUAAAUAUUAGCUGUUAUUAAUGCACAGCAAGUUCCUAAAGCAUGGCCCUAUCUCAUAGAAAAGCCACUUGGAUUAUUACUGUAGGAUGUGUAUGGGAAUGUUUGCAAAACUAUACAUACCUUGAGAUGGGAAGAAUAAAGGAUGGAUCAUUUGCUAUGAUGUCAAAACCACCAAAAAGAGUAUGAGCCACUACUUUAGGACUUUGGUGAAAAGUUAAGGGAGUCUUUCUUAUGACCAGGAUAUCCAGUUCCAUAGACUGACCUGAGCUUCCCAAUGAAGCAUAGAGAUAUGACAUGGAUGAAGGGAUUGCAGGAUUCCCAAGAAAUGAAGCAAUUAUUUGACUUUAAAAUAGUUGCUAACUGGCAAGUGUGGCAGGCGGUGGAAUGCUCCAGACCGGUGACAAGGAUUUAAGUAAGAAGGUGGCCCUCACACUGCCAUGCAGCUCUCCUCAUGACUGGAAAUUAUCGUUUACUUCCCUCUCUCUUGAGCUGAGCUCCUUGGAGCAGGACUCCUGCCUGACGGGACCACCCUCGCCCCUGGCACGGUAAGUGGUUACAUACUAGGCCUUGGUAGGUAAAUACUUGCUGUAAACACGAAGCCUACAGGUUCAGAAGGGUCUGAGGGCUGAAUCAACGGCCUCCACGCAGCUCGCGGCCGCUGGGGACCGCGCGGAAUCCACUUCACGCGGGUGUGCUCGGACACCAGCGGCGACACAGCUCCUCCCCCGCGCUCUGCGCUAGGCCCCUGGG
Non-coding RNA from Miniopterus natalensis, 1119 nucleotides. The record is from RefSeq and is a predicted model, not a curated record. NCBI's taxonomy places the organism in Eukaryota, Metazoa, Chordata, Mammalia, Chiroptera, Miniopteridae.